AUACGGAGGGUGCAAGCGUUACUCGGAAUCACUGGGCGUAAAGCGCGCGCAGGCGGGCUGAUAAGUUGGAUGUGAAAGCCUACGGCUCAACCGUAGAACUGCAUCCAAAACUGUCAGUCUAGAGUCUGGGAGGGGAAGAUGGAAUUAGUUGUGUAGGGGUAAACUCCGUAGAGAUAACUAGGAAUACCAAAAGCGAAGGCGAUCUUCUGGAACAGUACUGACGCUGAGGCGCGAAAGCGUGGGGAGCAAACAGGAUUAGAAACCCUAGUAGUCC
RNAcentral lists this ribosomal RNA (274 nucleotides) under uncultured bacterium. RNAcentral describes it as "partial 16S ribosomal RNA". It matches the Rfam family "Bacterial small subunit ribosomal RNA", at positions 523 to 796 of the family's 1533-position model. The record is from RNAcentral.